GAUGAACGCUGGCGGCGUGCCUAAUACAUGCAAGUCGAGCGAACGGACGAGAAGCUUGCUUCUCUGAUGUUAGCGGCGGACGGGUGAGUAACACGUGGAUAACCUACCUAUAAGACUGGGAUAACUUCGGGAAACCGAAGCUAAUACCGGAUAAUAUUUUGAACCGCAUGGUUCAAAAGUGAAAGACGGUCUUGCUGUCACUUAUAGAUGGAUCCGCGCUGCAUUAGAUAGUUGGUAAGGUAACGGCUUACCAAGGCAACGAUGCAUAGCCGACCUGAGAGGGUGAUCGGCCACACUGGAACUGAGACACGGUCCAGACUCCUACGGGAGGCAGCAGUAGGGAAUCUUCCGCAAUGGGCGAAAGCCUGACGGAGCAACGCCGCGUGAGUGAUGAAGGUCUUCGGAUCGUAAAACUCUGUUAUUAGGGAAGAACAUAUGUGUAAGUAACUGUGCACAUCUUGACGGUACCUAAUCAGAAAGCCACGGCUAACUACGUG
Molecule: ribosomal RNA, 497 nt
Filed under: uncultured bacterium
Lineage: Bacteria
Description: partial 16S ribosomal RNA
Rfam family: Bacterial small subunit ribosomal RNA
Source: RNAcentral